This 6691-nucleotide long non-coding RNA is filed under the name Homo sapiens (human). RNAcentral's name for it is "HSALNT0295464". The record is from RNAcentral. Lineage: Eukaryota; Metazoa; Chordata; Mammalia; Primates; Hominidae.
GAGGGGAGCAGCGGAGACAGAGUCUCACGCACAGGUAUGCCCAGACACCCUGAACCCAGUUACUUAACCUCGUCAACCACUGUGGCAUCCGCGGGGUCCGUGGGCCCAUGGGUCUUCCGGGAGGGAUUCUGUGUCCCUGUUAUUGUGUGUCAAUAGGUGUUAGCCUGAUAUUUAUAUUUUUAAUGAGAGAAAACAAACUCCAGAAUUUGGGAACUGUUUUUCCGGUUUUGCUUUAUACCUCUUGGACACUCCUUCGAAGGACUGGAUCUGAGGGGCAUUGGGGUGCGACUACGGUGGACAAGGGAUGAUUAAUUUUCAUCCAAAAAUCUUUGGUGGAUUCCCCCGGCUCUCCAGCUCACCAGUCUAACAGUAGUUUAAAACAGAAGAUCAGCAACGUUUGGAGAGUUUUUUUUUCUUUGCGUUUUAAUGAUAAACUUGAUUUAUUCAAUUCUAUUCUGAGGUUGUCUUUCUAUAUUUUGAGUAUAAAACGAUGGCCAUACUAUGUUGGAACCACUAAGGUUCUUCUCUUCACUUGUUAUUCGUAAAGUCUCUUUGUAAUCUGAGAAUUUCCUGAGUAAACUGGGAACUGUUAUACAUAAUUCCUUGUUUUUGAGCAUUCUUUGUAAACAGGAAUCAGGAUUGGGGGUGGGGAGGGAGGGAGGAGUAGGAGUGCUGAUUUGUGUAACGGAAAAUCAUGGAUUACUUAUGUGAUGGAGCAAAGGUUUAAAAACUCUUAGCGUCCCCGGAUUUCCCCUUUUACUGUUUGCUGAAGAAAAUUCUGUCUUUGACUCCCUUCCUUACCCUCUCCUGGCCUGUGAGCUGCUUCCUCCCUAUUCAGUUUAUUUCCUCCUCCCCUCCCCGCCCCACUCCCCCACCCCCGCAGCCCCCUCCUCUUUUUCAGUGAAGCUGCUGGAGGAAAGUCGGGUUUGGGAGAAGACCCACACAGGCAAGGACAGCAGAACACUGACAUAUAGUUACACUCUUGUCGCCAGCACUGUCAUUAAGAUGUUGUGAAAAGACAAAGACAAAAGAGGAGAGGAAAGAAUAAUAUCUCCGUUUCAGGAGAUAUUCCACAAUAUUCCAGGAUGUUGUGCCUACUGUCCAGAGUCCUUGAUCCGAUGUAGUAAAGAGCUAGGGACAUUUUCACUGAAGGCUUUGAUUGCUGGCAAAAUCUCAUUAAAAGUGUAUACAUUGAUAGGUUGGCCACAGAAUGGCCAAAGAAGAGCCUCUGGCCUACAUCUGCCAAGAUAUAUGUGUAAGAAUACACUCUGCAGCAUUAUUUUUUAUUGUAAAAUAGCAGAACGAAUUUAUUAUUCAAUAAUUAUAAAAUGUUCAAAUGUAUGUGACUAUAUUCGGACAAUGAAAAAUGCAGCUGUUAAAAAUAGACAAUACUGAUGAUUCAGAUGAUGUUACUGAUGAAAAUAAUAACAGAUGACAAUUAUUGAGCAUUUAUGCAAUCUUACAUGCAUUACCUUAUUUAAAGUUCAGAACAACUAAGGAAAUGAGUAACUUGGGGCGGGCGUGAGAGGUUUGGAGGCACAAAAGGAAGAUAGGCAUUCAAGGGACACCAGGAUAGAAGAGCCACAGUAGAAGAGAGAGGAAGAGGAGUCCGCCAGGUGGGAUGCUGCAAGCCGCUGGAUAGCACGGCGGAGAUAGGGCGUUCCUGCCCCGCAAGCCUCCCUGCGACCGCAGGCCUCCGGCCGCCUUCUUCCAGGAAGACGCGCCCUGCUUUCUUCUGAUGUUGGUAGAGACGCUGCAAAGCGCAUCGUCCUCGAGCAUUUCUUCUCUCCCCAAGACCCUCCGAAGGAGCAUUUCUUCUCUCCCCAAGACCCUCCGAAGGAAGGAUGGGCGGACAGACUAAGUGGUCAAACGCGCAGAGCUCCAGCUUCCGCAGGAGCAUUUCCCGAGUGUCUUUCAUGGGUAAGAGUGGGCCCUGCAGGAUAAUGCCUCCCGUUCCCUGAGGAGCAGUGCGGGAGAUGCCCAUGUGGCCAGCUCCUGGGCCACGCGACCCAGGCCCUCCAGGAGGAGCGAGGAGUCCUGGGCCCUGAGCCAGCCCCCUGGACCGGCUGUGCCAAGAGAAGCAGCAAGGGAAGGGGUCCCCUCCUGCCUCAGGGUCUCUGUCCUCCUGGGGUUAAGAGACGUGCAUCCAACUCCCUCUCCAAGUGCUGGAGAGGAGGCUAGGUCUUUCCCACGGGCUGGGGGCCUUGCUGUCCCAAGGACGGCUGGGGAGGAGGAGGAGGCCGGUUGAGAUAUGUGAAGCAGCUCUGGCUACAGCGGGUAGGGAGAGGGCGCGCGGGACCCAGGAGCCUCCGUGCGGAGCCAGGCCUCAGGAGCAGCCGCCUUGUUCCUGGAAGGGGUGCCUCCCUCCAUCUUGUCUCCAAAGACUGUAGGGAGACCUUCUCGCCCGGUAGGAAAGCGACGUCUCCCAUGCUUUCCCACCACGCAGGCCUUGUGGCCUUUCUCCUGCUAGUGUCUGCCCUCCAACCUGCGGGGGCUGCGGCUGCCACGGUUCCACGCUGGGUGGACGCUGCCUGCCCGGGAUCCAAGAGCCGCCGUUGCAGGCGGGAGUUGGGGAGUCGUGUGCAGGUCCGAAGGAGACCCAAGCUCUUGGUCAAGGCUUUUUUGCUAUAGCCAAAUUCAGCGUGUAAAAGACAGAGAGCUCACAUCUGUCUGUUCGUAAGCUUCGGUGAGAACACCAAGGAAGCGCACUCAAGAUUCGUAGGAGGGCGGGAAGGGUCCCUGGCGGCGAUAUCCACAUCGGCGGUGAGCCAAGGCAUGUCAGGAGAGUGAGUGCGCGAACCCAGCCGCCGGAUAGCGCAAACACCACCGCGGACGAGGGCCCCGCAUGUGGAGAAAUCGCAGGGGUCAGCGGAGCCGAAGUGUGGUGGACUAGCCUCCUCCAGGGAGAACCCCCUUCCUGACCACUGUAUGUCCCCCGCCACAUAAGGGGAGAGGAGGGACAGCACAGCCUACUCUCCCCUGGCCGACGAUCAGGGUCACCACCUUCUCCUCUGCUCUCCCCUCGCCAUUCUUCCAAACCACCCUCCGCCAAAGAUUCCACGGACAGUCACCCUCCCAACAACCCAGGCCUCCUUUCAGCAGCGGCUCCCGCCCCACAGCCACCGCGCCCUCUCACCCCCGCGGUUCUGCCCGCCGCCUCUGCCGAGUCUGUGCACUUCACCUCCCUGGGUCCCGCUCCCCCCUGAGCUUACAGUGGACGAGGGGCAGGACGGGGGGAAGGCCAUUCGGCUGCCCUUCUAGCUUCAGAAUCACCCAGUGAACGGGUUUCAACCGUAGCCGGCAAGAUGCGCCUCUCCGGUUUUCCGAGGCUUUGGAACCUGCACAAUUGUUCUGCAAAAGACGGUGGCUCCGCCUAGCAUUGGAUGGGCGCUUGCUCUGCAUGGUGAUGCCGGAGCGAGGGUCGACUGUCCGUAUGUCGCAGUCGGGUGGUGUGCUUGCUUCCAAGUCUGGAGUUGGCUGGUUCAAGCUCGUUCUACUGAGCGUUUCUUGCAUUUUAAAAAUGCUUAAACCGCUGGCAACUUUCUUCUACCCAGCACAUUCUCUCAUGGAAUGGCAGAGCAAGACCAACUUUACCCGCCUCUCCUCCGUGUCUCCCAUACGACAUGAGGACGUAAAUCAAGAUCUGGAUUUUCAUCUGGUAUUGGAUUCCUUCUGCCCGGAAGACUCCUUUGACGUUUCUGUAGUGUGGGUCAGCUGGUAGUGAAUUCGGUCAGCUUAUGAACUCAAAAGAGGUGUAGGAGGAGAGAAGCUCAAUUAUCACCCUGGUCUCCUGGAGUAUCCCAGGCACAGUCCCAAGAGUUCAGCUUUUCAUACUCGAGUUCCUGGGUCCUGAAGGCCUUUUUGGGGAAAGUACUGAUGUUCGUGUCAAGGUUGGGAAGAAAGGGUUUGGGAGGAACCAAGCAACAGGGAGGCAAAGAGAAGACAUCAACAAGCGAGGCAAGAACUUUCCACAGGCUCACACUGGAUACAGGACCAGAGACAAGAAGCUGGCAGUGUGGUGGGGAGGCCAUGGCAAUCAUUAGCUCUGGAGGCCUGAGGAGGACACUCUGAAGAGGAAAGCCCCGCGAUCAUCCGGUUUCACCCCUGUUUUCAUCUACUCUUUUCCUCAGCGAAGCCUAUAUGGGUUCCCGAUGUCACAUCGCAGCUACCGCAUUGGAGGGUUAAGAGCCGCUGACAAAUCUCUUUCGGGAAGGGAAGAAGAGUUCCAAACAAAAGAUCUACUACCCUGAGAAGCGGUGAAGUGCUCCUGGGGCCCACCAAGGCCACACAAGUCAAGGAGUGGAUGGCCUUGCCCCAGCUAUGGCUCAGAUCACCUUUGCAGGAUGACAUCUUGUUGGGAGAUGGUCAUCAGAGACAGGGCCAUGGAAGACGCUGUCAGGAGGAGGCACAGAGGAAAGGCUAUGGGAGCACAAAGCAAGAAAGUGGCCUUCUGCAAGCCAGGAAGAGAGGCCUCCCCAGAAACCAACUCUACCAGCACAUUGAUCUUGGACUUUUGGCCUCUAGAACAUUGAGAAAAUAAAAGUCUGCUGUUAAACCACCCAACCUUUGGUAUCUUUCUAUGGCAGCCUGAGCUGACUAACACCCUUGGUAGGUGGGCAGCAUUCACCUUAUUGGGCUACAUGAUGAGAAGUUAAAGUAACUUUAGCAAUAGGCACCAUUUGAUUUCAUUGUAUAGAUAUUGUGUCUUUUGCACUGAUUUUGCCUUUUUUAGUUGUGUGUAUAUUGAUGCCUGGGCCUAGCAUUACAAGACUAGUCGAAAUGGGAAGAAAGAAAAGAAAGUGGGAAAGAUACCAAGUUCCAUAAUUGCAUCCUCUACCCACAUCCAGUUCUUAGAAUCUUUUCCAAUGGAGACUGCACCUUGUGUACACUCAAAUUCAAUCUGAGCGCACAAUCAUUUAGACAACCAAGGCAACUUUUCCAAUUUUCAGCAUCACACGCUUGGGAAAACAAGUAUUUCAAUCACUAAUUUAAAUAUUCAUUGAGGUAAUUAUUCUGAGGUUGAUGAAAAAUAUGGUGUAUCCAUGUACUGUUGCCUUCUCCUGGGUCAAGAAUGUUGUCUUUACUCUGCUGGCUCACAUUUGACCAGAAAUUGGAGUCCCAGCAAAUCUUACUAGCCACUCAGGAAGCCUAUUUUAAGAUAGUCCCAAUCUCAAACUUGUUCUAAGACUUGUAUGCUGACUGAGGAGAAAGAGCCUCAUGACAAAAAUUCAACUAGAGCUGUGGGUGACAGUUGUGUGUCUCACUACUGGUCUGGGCCCAGGUUUCCCGUGAGCACCUAAUGAAUAGACUCAAUUGCAGGGAUCGUCAAGAUGCUCACUAUGUCUACCUCAUAGCCUCAAAAGAAGUGAUAACUAACAGAAUUUGUGUAGUAUCCUGAAGGGAAAUUAAUCCAGAUAUAGAGGAAAAGAUAAGGAUUUUUUAAAACAGACAUGUGAUUCAACAGUUGUUUAAGAUGCAGAAAGCUGUAAGAGACAGUUGUUCCCACUCUAAUGACAAGAAAAAGCUGUAUGGUCUGCAAAAUCAUACGUGCUUUGAUCCCACCAGAGAGCUGAAGUUGCAAGGCCCCUGAGUCAGCUGAAGUCCAAAGCGUGAGAAAACCCCCUAUAGAAGGACAAACACAUGAAGCAGUUCAUCUUUGACAGAUAAUGGAAGGAAAAGAUGGCAGCCAUAAAUGUUCAUUGGAGAAAAUCACUGAAGAUUUCAUCAUUUCUUAAAGGCCAAGUGUGAACUAUUGUGACAGAUUAGAAACUCUGAGAGUCCCAGAUACAUAGCAUGGUUUUGCCCAUUUGCUGGGUCCUUCCUCCCACGUCCUUAGUGCUGACAAGACACAUGUAACAGGGAAAGAGGAUUUCUCAAGCUUGCCACAGUGGCGUAGGCAUAAAAGUCAUGAUCACAUGAUCGACCACCACCAGAGUACAGGCACAAAACCUGGUUGCUUCUCACAUAAAACAAAAGGCAUCUACCACUGAUGUUGGAGCUAGGAACUCGUCCAACCCUUGGCCCCAGGGAUAGGGCAACUGCUGAGGUAGGGUUAGACAGAAAAACUGUCUGUAUUGGACAAGGGGAGGAGACUUGCUCUUGCCCAAGACUUCCCAUCAUUGAAAGGUAGUGUUCCGCUACCCCAAGGGGAUGUCACAGGAACACUAGGACCCAGGUAUCCAUGGCCUGAGGCUUGAUACACAUUCAGUGCAAUCAGUAAUGUGAGUUGGUUUCGACCAAUCAUUUGAGUUGGUUGCAGACCCUUUCCUCUAAUGAGGAAAAACUGUGGUGUGGGUACAAAGUUUCCACGUUCAGAAAGAUUGGCCUUGUCCUUACAGAUAUUAUAUUGAUUGGAUUUCUCUCAACCUCCUUAAGUUAUGUUUACCAUUAUUAAAAUUAAGUGACAUUCACUUGGAAGAAGUGGUAAUACAAACAGGUUGUGAGAAUUUAUAGUGAUUUUUGAUCCCAAGCCUUGUAUCACUGUUGGGUCUUCAUGUGUGUACUUGAAAACAAAACAUGUACAAUUGUUGCACUGGUUUGAAGAUUUUAAUGGUGGAAGUGACCUAAUCAGUAAUCAGUACUGUAUCUAGAAACGAAUCUUGGAAAUAUGUGAUUAUGCUCUUUUAAAAUCGCUGAAAAGAAGGCUGGGUGUGGUGGCUCAUUCCUAUAAUUCCACACUUUGAGAGGCUGA